This 460-nucleotide ribosomal RNA is filed under the name uncultured bacterium. Its description in RNAcentral is "partial 16S ribosomal RNA". It matches the Rfam family "Bacterial small subunit ribosomal RNA", at positions 338 to 795 of the family's 1533-position model. The record is from RNAcentral.
CCUACGGGAGGCAGCAGUGAGGAAUAUUGGUCAAUGGACGAGAGUCUGAACCAGCCAAGUCGCGUGAAGGAUGACUGCCCUAUGGGUUGUAAACUUCUUUUAUAAAGGAAUAAAACGAGGCACGUGUGCCUUUUUGCAUGUACUUUAUGAAUAAAGAUCGGCUAACUCCGUGCCAGCCGCCGCGGUAAUACGGAGGAUCCGAGCGUUAUCCGGAUUUAUUGGGUUUAAAGGGAGCGGCGAUGGGUUGGUAAGUCAGUUGUGAAAGUUUGCGGCUCAACCGUAAAAUUGCAAUUGAUACUGGCAGUCUUGAGUACAGGUGAGGUAGGCGGAAUUCGUGGUGUAGCGGUGAAAUGCUGAGAUAUCACGAAGAACCCCGAUUGCGAAGGCAGCUUACUAAACUGUGACUGACAUUGAUGCUCGAAAGUGUGGGUAUCAAACAGGAUUAGAUACCCCUGUAGUC